This 82-nucleotide transfer RNA is filed under the name Salmo salar (Atlantic salmon). It matches the Rfam family "tRNA". Rfam says of the family: Transfer RNA (tRNA) molecules are approximately 80 nucleotides in length. Their secondary structure includes four short double-helical elements and three loops (D, anti-codon, and T loops). Lineage: Eukaryota; Metazoa; Chordata; Actinopteri; Salmoniformes; Salmonidae. The record is from Rfam by way of RNAcentral.
GCUGCGAUGGCCGAGUGGUUAAGGCGUUGGACUUGAAAUCCAAUGGGGUCUCCCUGCGCAAUUUCGAACCCUGCUCGCAGCG